UGCCACAGUUGAUUCUCUUGAGACCAACAUAAUGGCCUCAUAGCUACACUCAUUAGUAACUCCAACCUGCAGUAUCACCACCCAAGUUAGAGUUCACUUCUUAUAAAAUCCUUUCUCUACCUACUUACUCUGACACAGCACAUCUCAGGAACCAACCAUGACUUUCCAUUUUGUCUAUUCUGCCCAGGGGGAGUGGUCCACGGAAGUUCAUCCUGCCCUCCUGGCUUCAUGAUAUUCUUGACUCCAUUGCUCCAUUUAUCUGGCUGUUGUUCUAAUUGUUGUAUGGAAACUCAUACCAGAAACACUUCCGGGUAAACACGGCUGCAAUCUAGACUCGACUCACUUCCCCUCCCCAGCACCAAACGAAAUAGACUACCUCAAAAGAGCAUAAAAAUCACCUUUGGAAGAACGGAGGACUCUCCAGUACCCCACAGAAACGAAGAUAAGAAGGGGACCUUUGAAAGGGCAAGUGUUCUGGAAGGUGUGGAACCUCAUCUUCCCAUACAUUGGGAGCCACAGACAGAUGGAAGCAGAUUCACCAUACUUAACAAGAACUUCUUGAAUAUCCCACAAAUGCAAGAAAAGGGCUCCAGCUAGCUUCUGAAAAAGUACCAGGCUGAAGAGUGUGUGAAACUGAUCACCUCGCUGGGGGAGGGGCCCCCCAAGGAAUUGGAAUCUUGAGGAGGAGAAGAUUCUGGCUGGGAGAAGAAUUGGUCUCUCAGUCAGGAGAAGCCAAAGAGACAAGGUUGAAAAAGACUUUCUGCUGAGAGUUACUCACUUUUCCUGCUUGUGACUGGAAAUCCUUCCCCCUAAUAUUUCCAAAUUGAAAAAGACUACUGAAGAAGAAACCUGAAAAAAGACAUUUUAAAUCUCUGUCCAACUUUACUUCAGCUCCUGUUGCCCUAAGUCUGAACUGUGGCCAAGGGGCCAAAUGCAAGGUGAGUUGACCUGACUUUUUCUCAGGGGGCUCAGGCUGCCAAGGCUUGAGUUCCCCCCAAACACAAGGAGGGAGGGAAAAGGGUUUUAGAUAGAGACAGGGACCCCUUUUCCUCACUUUACUCUCCCAUUCUUUCCCUGCUAGUUAUUCCUUUGUAUUACCUUGAUUGAGUUGACAUUAAAAUAGUUAACUUUUCCCCAAGUUGUGUGUGAGUGAACAGAUCAAGGGGAGUGCCUUUGGUCUCUGGUAGUGGAGGGGGAACAAGAGGGACAAGAGUGAAUCUGGGAGAGCAGCCUUAGCUAAGGAGGGAAGACAGAAGAGGGAAAAUCUUCAAAUCCCCUCUUUUCUCUCUGAGCCAAGCCUAAAUAAACAUCAGCUAUCUCUCCUGAACCCCA
RNAcentral lists this long non-coding RNA (1332 nucleotides) under Monodelphis domestica (gray short-tailed opossum). RNAcentral's name for it is "lncRNA (ENSMODG00000040012.1)". The record is from RNAcentral. Lineage: Eukaryota; Metazoa; Chordata; Mammalia; Didelphimorphia; Didelphidae.